GUCCUUCCUGUCCUCUGUUCCCAGCUCUGCCCACUGGCAGCCUGGCCCUGCAUUGCACAAGCUCCUUCUCCCCCAACCAGCCCCUCCCCAGCCACUUCCCUUGAGAU
Molecule: long non-coding RNA, 107 nt
Organism: Calypte anna (Anna's hummingbird)
Lineage: Eukaryota; Metazoa; Chordata; Aves; Apodiformes; Trochilidae
Exons: 3
Source: RefSeq, a predicted model, not a curated record